GAGCGGGGAAAGGUAGCUUGCUACCUGACCUAGCGGCGGACGGGUGAGUAAUGCUUAGGAAUCUGCCUAUUAGUGGGGGACAACAUUCCGAAAGGAAUGCUAAUACCGCAUACGCCCUACGGGGGAAAGCAGGGGAUCUUCGGACCUUGCGCUAAUAGAUGAGCCUAAGUCAGAUUAGCUAGUUGGUGGGGUAAAGGCCUACCAAGGCGACGAUCUGUAGCGGGUCUGAGAGGAUGAUCCGCCACACUGGGACUGAGACACGGCCCAGACUCCUACGGGAGGCAGCAGUGGGGAAUAUUGGACAAUGGGCGAAAGCCUGAUCCAGCCAUGCCGCGUGUGUGAAGAAGGCCUUUUGGUUGUAAAGCACUUUAAGCGAGGAGGAGGCUACUUAGAUUAAUACUCUAGGAUAGUGGACGUUACUCGCAGAAUAAGCACCGGCUAACUCUGUGCCAGCAGCCGCGGUAAUACAGAGGGUGCGAGCGUUGAUCGGAUUUACUGGGCGUAAAGCGUGCGUAGGCGGCUUUUUAAGUCGGAUGUGAAAUCCCUGAGCUUAACUUAGGAAUUGCAUUCGAUACUGGGAAGCUAGAGUAUGGGAGAGGAUGGUAGAAUUCCAGGUGUAGCGGUGAAAUGCGUAGAGAUCUGG
RNAcentral lists this ribosomal RNA (643 nucleotides) under uncultured Pseudomonadota bacterium. Its description in RNAcentral is "bacterial SSU rRNA". It matches the Rfam family "Bacterial small subunit ribosomal RNA", at positions 64 to 701 of the family's 1533-position model. The record is from RNAcentral. Lineage: Bacteria; Pseudomonadati; Pseudomonadota.